GUCACCCAGGCUGAAAUGCAGUGGCGCAAUCUCGGCUCACUGCAAGCUCCGCCUCCUGGGUUCAUGCCAUUCUCCUGCCUCAGCCUCUCGAGUAGCUGGAACUACAGGCGCCAGCCACCACGCCCGGGUAAUUUUUUGUAUUUUUAGUAGAGACGGGAUUUCACUGUGUUAGCCAGGAUUGUCUCGAUCUCCUGACCUCGUGAUCUGCCUGCCUCGGCCUCCCAAAGUGCUGGGAUUACAGACAGCAAGACCCCCCGCAAGACAGCAAGACCCAACUCUCUUCUUUCUCUUCCUCCUCAUCCUACUCAACAUGAAGAUGACAAGGAUGAAGACCUUCAUGAUGGUCCACUUCACUUAAUGAAUAGUAAAUAGUAAAUUUUCUCUUCCUCAUGAUGUUUGAAAUAAUAUUUUCUUUUCUCUAGCUUAUUUUAUUGUAACAAUACAGUAUACUAUACACACACAAAAUAUGUGUUAAUCAACUGUUUAUGUUAUUGGUAAGGCUUAUGGUUAACAGUGGGCUCUUAAUAGCUACACUGUGGUGGAGUCAAAAGUUAUAUACAGGGUCUCGACUGUCUGGGGGUUCGGUGCCCCUAAUCUCUGCAUUGUUCAAGGGACAACCACAGUGUUAUUUCUGUUAGACAUGUGUCAGCACCCUAUGCUGUUACUGUGACUUGCUAUUUUUUUAAAUCUCCCUUGUAACUGUAGGAUAACUCUCUGUAUAACUCUAGUGAAUCCCCAGUAAGUGCAAAUUAAAAUGGUGACCUGUAUCUUUAAAGAAAAUUAAAUCUUUAUACAUGCUCAUGA
Molecule: long non-coding RNA, 804 nt
Filed under: Homo sapiens (human)
Lineage: Eukaryota; Metazoa; Chordata; Mammalia; Primates; Hominidae
Description: HSALNT0345461
Source: RNAcentral